This 66-nucleotide transfer RNA is filed under the name Lunella aff. cinerea STW-2013. RNAcentral's name for it is "tRNA-His". Lineage: Eukaryota; Metazoa; Mollusca; Gastropoda; Trochida; Turbinidae. The record is from RNAcentral.
AUUGAGUUAGUUUAAUUAAAACCUUAGGAUGUGGGCCUACAAAUGAAAGUCUAUUUUCACUCAAUA